This 79-nucleotide transfer RNA is filed under the name Acinetobacter baumannii. Its description in RNAcentral is "tRNA-Met". It matches the Rfam family "tRNA". From Rfam's summary of the family: Transfer RNA (tRNA) molecules are approximately 80 nucleotides in length. The record is from RNAcentral. Lineage: Bacteria; Pseudomonadati; Pseudomonadota; Gammaproteobacteria; Moraxellales; Moraxellaceae.
UGCGGGGUGGAGCAGUGUCUGGUAGCUCGUCGGGCUCAUAACCCGAAGGUCGUUGGUUCAAAUCCGACCCCCGCAUCCA